GAUGAACGCUAGCUACAGGCUUAACACAUGCAAGUCGAGGGGCAGCGGGGAGGAUGCUUGCAUUCUCUGCCGGCGACCGGCGCACGGGUGAGUAACGCGUACCGAACCUGCCUCAUACUCGGGAAUAGCCUUGCGAAAGUAAGAUUAAUGCCCGGUGUUCCGCGAGGGCCGCAUGGCCUUUUCGGCAAAGUUAUUUACGGUAUGAGAUGGCGGUGCGUCCCAUUAGCUUGUUGGCGGGGUAACGGCCCACCAAGGCGACGAUGCGUAGGGGUUCUGAGAGGAAGGUCCCCCACAUUGGUACUGAGACACGGACCAAACUCCUACGGGAGGCAGCAGUGAGGAAUAUUGGUCAAUGGGCGGAAGCCUGAACCAGCCAAGUCGCGUGAGGGAAGACGGUCCUACGGAUUGUAAACUGCUUUUAUAAGGGAAUAAAGUGGGUCUCGUGAGACUUUUUGCAUGUACCUUAUGAAUAAGGACCGGCUAAUUCCGUG
Molecule: ribosomal RNA, 491 nt
Filed under: uncultured bacterium
Lineage: Bacteria
Description: bacterial SSU rRNA
Rfam family: Bacterial small subunit ribosomal RNA
Source: RNAcentral